This 498-nucleotide ribosomal RNA is filed under the name uncultured bacterium. RNAcentral's name for it is "partial 16S ribosomal RNA". It matches the Rfam family "Bacterial small subunit ribosomal RNA", at positions 30 to 523 of the family's 1533-position model. The record is from RNAcentral.
AUUGAACACUGGCGGCAUGCUUUACACAUGCAAGUCGAACGGUAACAGGCCGCAAGGUGCUGACGAGUGGCGAACGGGUGAGUAAUGCAUCGGAACGUGCCCAGUCGUGGGGGAUAACUAUCCGAAAGGAUAGCUAAUACCGCAUACGAUCUGCGGAUGAAAGCGGGGGACCUUCGGGCCUCGCGCGAUUGGAGCGGCCGAUGUCAGAUUAGGUAGUUGGUGGGGUAAAGGCUCACCAAGCCAACGAUCUGUAGCUGGUCUGAGAGGACUACCAGCCAGCCGGGGACUGAGGCACGGCACAGACUCCUACGGGAGGCAGCAGUGGGGAAUUUUGGACAAUGGGCGCAAGCCUGAUCCAGCAAUGCCGCGUGCAGGAAGAAGGCCUUCGGGUUGUAAACUGCUUUUGUACGGAGCGAAACGGCUCUGGUUAAUACCUGGGGCUAAUGACGGUACCGUAAGAAUAAGCACCGGCUAACUACGUGCCAGCCGCCGCCGUAA